UGUCCAGAAGCGAACUUAACAUGUAACCAGUGACGGGGGCGUCCGUUGGGCUCAAAAUCAUAUUGACCAACAAAAGGAAUGAAUUUGAAUUUAAACAGCGUACAUGUGUAAACUCUGCCAGAGACCCUCGCACGACGCGCGACGCGACUGGAGGAAAGUCCUCGCACGACACGCGACGCGACUGGAGGAAAGUCCGCGGGAGGCAGGUGCGCCGUCGCCAGGCAGGUGCGCGCCGCAGGUGACGCACUGCAGUCGUAGCGCCCCAGAGCAGGCUGUCCACAAACACAACGAGCACUGGAGAUAGUGGAAACAAUUUCUCAUCGGUUCGGAGCCGGGGGACCCUUCACCGCCGCCGUACCGCGGAAGACAACUGCGAUUCACAGGAGAAUCGCCCUUCCGUAAGGGCCGCAGGUGCAUCUCGGCUUACACCACCGCGACGUCAUCCGGCAUCACCGCGUUCAGGACUUAAUAACUGGACAUUCGGAGAAUCUAAAGUUGGACUCCAACAUGCGUGCUCUGUAUUCCGUCGUAAACAGGAUAAACAUUCACGAGGAUGGAAGAAGAGAGUUUUGUUGUAUAUGAAACACAUUUAUAAUAUAUUUGUUUAACAUUCAAGAUGUUCUUUGUGAGUUUGUGUACAUGCCAUUUGAAAUAAUAAAGACAGUGCGUGACAUAAAGAUCACGUAUGCACCAUUGUCUUUGUAAAUGUUU
Molecule: long non-coding RNA, 711 nt
Organism: Bacillus rossius redtenbacheri
Lineage: Eukaryota; Metazoa; Arthropoda; Insecta; Phasmatodea; Bacillidae
Exons: 4
Source: RefSeq, a predicted model, not a curated record